This 494-nucleotide ribosomal RNA is filed under the name uncultured bacterium. RNAcentral's name for it is "partial 16S ribosomal RNA". It matches the Rfam family "Bacterial small subunit ribosomal RNA", at positions 28 to 507 of the family's 1533-position model. The record is from RNAcentral.
GACGAACGCUGGCGGCGCGCUUAACACAUGCAAGUCGAACGGAAAGGCCUGCUUUCCCUUGUGGAUUGCGGGUACUCGAGUGGCGAACGGGUGAGUAACACGUGAGUGAUCUGCCCCCAACUUGGGUAUAAGACUGGGAAACUGGGUCUAAUUCCCGAUAGGACUGCAGGGUGGUGCCUGUGGUGGAAAACGAUUUUCUAGUGGUUGGGGAUGAGCUCGCGGCCUAUCAGCUUGUUGGUGGGGUAAUGGCCUACCAAGGCGGCGACGGGUAGCCGGCCUGAGAGGGUGGACGGCCACAUUGGGACUGAGAUACGGCCCAGACUCCUACGGGAGGCAGCAGUGGGGAAUAUUGCACAAUGGGCGGAAGCCUGAUGCAGCGACGCCGCGUGGGGGAUGACGGCCUUCGGGUUGUAAACUCCUUUCGACCGCGAGGAAGCCACCUGGUUGGAAGGGUGGUGACGGUAGUGGUAGAAGAAGCACCGGCUAACUACGUG